CUUCUGAGUUGAACUUCAUUGCUCCUGCUGCAGCCAGAACUUCCACCUGGAAGUAAUCUGGUUGGAACUCUGAUGUUGCAGCUGCCUUUGAGCCUGAUACCCAUACCUGUUUCAUAACCUCUCCUGGCUGUAAACCUGAGCACCGAUGCUUGACCUAUUAUGUAAAUAACCCACACUCCAACCUGCAAUUAUGGAAGGUCUACAAACCUGAAUUGUGACAUUCAACUGAUAUAUGUAAGAAUUCUUGAGAGAGGCCUGUGUCCUGCUGUUGGGGCUGAUCCAUGGGAGAAUUCCUGUGGGAGGAAGAGGCUGAAACUCUGGCCUAGCGUUAUUAAACAGAGCACUCAUAAUAAAUGUGUCAAUACUAUUUCUGAAAUGUUUGCAAGUUUCUCUCUAUCACAAACAUAUUGUUCAAAUUUUAUUAAAGGAAAAUAUUGUAGUAUCCUAUUGGAAUUAUUGGGUUUUUGGGUAAUUAUCUUAAGCCCC
Long non-coding RNA from Physeter macrocephalus (sperm whale), 486 nucleotides. RefSeq lists it as uncharacterized. The record is from RefSeq and is a predicted model, not a curated record. The transcript has 4 exons. Lineage: Eukaryota; Metazoa; Chordata; Mammalia; Artiodactyla; Physeteridae.